This 27-nucleotide non-coding RNA is filed under the name Mus musculus (house mouse). Lineage: Eukaryota; Metazoa; Chordata; Mammalia; Rodentia; Muridae. The record is from RNAcentral.
UGUAGUCUUUGAAGUCCUCUGAUAGUC